This 924-nucleotide ribosomal RNA is filed under the name Triticum aestivum (bread wheat). Its description in RNAcentral is "partial small subunit ribosomal RNA". The record is from RNAcentral. Lineage: Eukaryota; Viridiplantae; Streptophyta; Magnoliopsida; Poales; Poaceae.
AUGGCCCGCAAGAAGGUGCCCCUCCGGUACAUUGGCAACUCAACACAGCGCCGUACUUAUGUGACGCGCCGCAACAACCUGGUGAAGAAGGCGGGCGAGUUGGGCAUCCUGUGCAACACCAAGAUCUGCAUGCUGGUGUAUGAUGAGGGCGCCGCGGCGCCGGACGUUUACCCGUCCCACACGGAGGCGGUGGCUAUCCUGAAUAGGUACAAGAACAUGCCGGACAUAGCACGGUUCAAGAAGGUGGUGACCCAGGAGGAGUUCCUCACCAAGCAAGUCGCCAAGCUCCAGCAUGAGGCCGACAAGCUCCGGCGCGAGCGUGAGGACCGCGAUACCAAGAUCCUUCUGCACAAGGCCAUGCUCGGCGGCAACCUGAAUGCCGAGGAGGUCGCCAGGGUUGGUUGUAAGUUGCAGGAGAUCCGCAAGAGCCUCGCCGAGCGCAUCGCAAAUACCAGCGGGCAGCCGCCGGUCUUCCAGCCCCAAGCGCCAUACGUCACCGGCGGUGUCGACAUGGGCCCUCCGUCGACGGACCAGGGGCCGCCGCAGCAGGAGGGCUGGCAGCCAGAGGUCUUCCAGCAGGCCCAGGCACCACAGGUCACGAGCAACGUCGACAUGGGCUAUCUGCCGACAUAUCAGGUGCCGCCUCAGCAGCAACAAGGCUGGCAGCCGCAGGUCUUUCGGCCCCAGGCGCCAUACGUCACCGGCAACGUCGACAUGGGGCCUCCGCAGAUGUAUCAUGUGCCGCUGCAGCAGCACGGCUGGCAGCCACCAACCUUCCAGAGGUCCGAGGGGGACGGUGCCUUGCUCUACAAUGCUAAUAACGGUACUGGUGGCCACGACGGCGCCGGUACUAGCUCUAGCGCCGGCUUCCCCAUGGAUGAUCUGAUGCAGUUCUUCAACAAUAUGGGAUCCGGGUUGCAGUGA